Molecule: ribosomal RNA, 1256 nt
Filed under: Pedobacter sp. BFE1A
Lineage: Bacteria; Pseudomonadati; Bacteroidota; Sphingobacteriia; Sphingobacteriales; Sphingobacteriaceae
Description: bacterial SSU rRNA
Rfam family: Bacterial small subunit ribosomal RNA
Source: RNAcentral
ACCUACCUUAUUCAGGGGGAUAGCCCGAAGAAAUUCGGAUUAACACCGCAUAAAAUCACAGUCCAGCAUUGGACAAUGAUCAAAUAUUUAUAGGAAUAAGAUGGGCAUGCGUGUCAUUAGCUAGUUGGCGGGGUAACGGCCCACCAAGGCGACGAUGACUAGGGGAUCUGAGAGGAUGACCCCCCACACUGGUACUGAGACACGGACCAGACUCCUACGGGAGGCAGCAGUAAGGAAUAUUGGUCAAUGGAGGCAACUCUGAACCAGCCAUGCCGCGUGCAGGAAGACAGCCCUCUGGGUCGUAAACUGCUUUUAUUCGGGAAUAAACCUUAUUACGUGUAAUAAGCUGAAUGUACCGAAGGAAUAAGGAUCGGCUAACUCCGUGCCAGCAGCCGCGGUAAUACGGAGGAUCCAAGCGUUAUCCGGAUUUAUUGGGUUUAAAGGGUGCGUAGGCGGCUUAUUAAGUCAGGGGUGAAAGACGGUGGCUCAACCAUCGCAGUGCCCUUGAUACUGAUGAGCUUGAAUGAACUAGAGGUAGGCGGAAUGUGACAAGUAGCGGUGAAAUGCAUAGAUAUGUCACAGAACACCGAUUGCGAAGGCAGCUUACUAUGGUUUUAUUGACGCUGAGGCACGAAAGCGUGGGGAUCAAACAGGAUUAGAUACCCUGGUAGUCCACGCCCUAAACGAUGAAUACUCGCUGUUAGCGAUAUACAGUUAGCGGCUAAGCGAAAGCGUUAAGUAUUCCACCUGGGGAGUACGCCCGCAAGGGUGAAACUCAAAGGAAUUGACGGGGGCCCGCACAAGCGGAGGAGCAUGUGGUUUAAUUCGAUGAUACGCGAGGAACCUUACCCGGGCUUGAAAGUUAGUGAAUCAUUUAGAGAUAGAUGAGUGAGCAAUCACACGAAACUAGGUGCUGCAUGGCUGUCGUCAGCUCGUGCCGUGAGGUGUUGGGUUAAGUCCCGCAACGAGCGCAACCCCUAUGUUUAGUUGCCAGCACGUUAAGGUGGGGACUCUAAACAGACUGCCUGUGCAAACAGAGAGGAAGGAGGGGACGACGUCAAGUCAUCAUGGCCCUUACGUCCGGGGCUACACACGUGCUACAAUGGAUGGUACAGAGGGCAGCAAGCUGGCAACAGCAAGCAAAUCUCAAAAAGCCAUUCACAGUUCGGAUAGAGGUCUGCAACUCGACCUCUUGAAGUUGGAUUCGCUAGUAAUCGCGUAUCAGCAAUGACGCGGUGAAUACGUUCCCGGGCCUU